RNAcentral lists this ribosomal RNA (194 nucleotides) under uncultured bacterium. Its description in RNAcentral is "partial 16S ribosomal RNA". It matches the Rfam family "Bacterial small subunit ribosomal RNA", at positions 163 to 353 of the family's 1533-position model. The record is from RNAcentral.
CUAAUACCGCAUGAGACUACAGAGCUGCAUGGCUCAGUGGUCAAAGGAGCAAUCCGCUGAAAGAUGGACUCGCGUCCGAUUAGAUAGUAGGCGGGGUAACGGCCCACCUAGUCGACGAUCGGUAGCCGGACUGAGAGGUUGAACGGCCACAUUGGGACUGAGACACGGCCCAGACUCCUACGGGAGGCAGCAUG